This 492-nucleotide ribosomal RNA is filed under the name uncultured bacterium. Its description in RNAcentral is "partial 16S ribosomal RNA". It matches the Rfam family "Bacterial small subunit ribosomal RNA", at positions 29 to 507 of the family's 1533-position model. The record is from RNAcentral.
AGUGAACGCUGGCGGUAGGCCUAACACAUGCAAGUCGAACGGCAGCACAGUAAGAGCUUGCUCUUACGGGUGGCGAGUGGCGGACGGGUGAGGAAUACAUCGGAAUCUACUUUUUCGUGGGGGAUAACGUAGGGAAACUUACGCUAAUACCGCAUACGACCUACGGGUGAAAGCAGGGGAUCUUCGGACCUUGCGCGAUUGAAUGAGCCGAUGUCGGAUUAGCUAGUUGGCGGGGUAAAGGCCCACCAAGGCGACGAUCCGUAGCUGGUCUGAGAGGAGGAUCAGCCCCACUGGAACUGAGACACGGACCAGACUCCUACGGGAGGCAGCAGUGGGGCAUAUUGGACAAUGGGCGAAAGCCUGACCCAGCCAUACCGCGUGAGUGAGGAAGGCCUUCGGGUUGUAAAGCCCUUUUGUUGGGAAUGAAGAUCAGCAGGUUAAUACCCCGCUGUUCUGACGGUACCCAAAGAAUAAGCACCGGCUAACUUCGUG